UUUUGUAUCUCAUUAGAGAAAGCCUUUCAAUCAAAAUAUUUAACAAAAAUAAAAAAGAAUAACCAAGAAAAAGAAAGAAGAGGAACCGUAACUGUCGUCAUCAUCUUCGGUUGAUCGUGUACUCAACUCCGAUGACCGACCAUCGUCCAACAGCCCAACAUAGUUGUGCACCGUUGCUUCUUCUACUUCGCUCCACUCACCAUUCUCUCUUUAUUUUUCCCCUUUCCUCCCAGUGCGCACAGGGCCAUUCUCUCUUUAUUUUUCCCCUUUCCUCCCAGUGCGCACAACCUG
Molecule: long non-coding RNA, 291 nt
Filed under: Cicer arietinum (chickpea)
Lineage: Eukaryota; Viridiplantae; Streptophyta; Magnoliopsida; Fabales; Fabaceae
Description: long non-coding RNA (CARI_LNC001449)
Source: RNAcentral